This 266-nucleotide ribosomal RNA is filed under the name uncultured bacterium. RNAcentral's name for it is "partial 16S small subunit ribosomal RNA". It matches the Rfam family "Bacterial small subunit ribosomal RNA", at positions 1106 to 1373 of the family's 1533-position model. The record is from RNAcentral.
UGCCAUUAAUUGCCAUCAUUUAGUUGGGCACUUUAAUGGGACUGCCGGUGACAAACCGGAGGAAGGUGGGGAUGACGUCAAGUCCUCAUGCCCCUUAUGGCCAGGGCUUCACACGUAAUACAAUGGUCGGUACAGAGGGAAGCCAACCCGCGAGGGGGAGCCAAUCUCAGAAAGCCGGUCGUAGUCCGGAUUGUUGUCUGCAACUCGACAGCAUGAAGUCGGAAUCGCUAGUAAUCGCGGAUCAGCAUGUCGCGGUGAAUACGUUC